CAUAAGCUGUUGGCGCCGGGAUAGAGCUGGGGGUCGCAGCAUCGCCAUGGCAGCGCUGAGACGGCACGUGUUCGUGGAGAAAGUUCUGAGGAGGCUUUUCCCUAGUGUUCCCUGUGCCCAAGAAAAGAGGGUACCCGUGGCUCCAGCUUCUGGAAACCCAGCCGAGAGGGUGGCCACUACGGACCUCAGGGGCAGGAGUGCCCCCACCUUGACAGGUGGAGACUCCAAGGUCCCUCCUCGAAGGCGGCUCUACACGGCGAGUUUGCCUCCUGAGGGGUACGUCCCAGCCCCCCCAGAGCCGCAGGCCAGCCCGGCCUCCGAGGACAGCUCAGGCAGCGAUGACGCGGGAAAAGGAUGCCCCCUCUCAGAUCAGGAUUUUCACGAUCAACCAAAGAGAAGAAGAGCUAGAAAGCAUAAAUCAAAGAAAAAUUUUAAAGAUCCCAAUAAUAUUCAUGGAGAACAAGAAGAAUUAGAGAAACAGCAGAGUCUUUUGCAAGAAAAAUUGCAGCCCCAGUGCACAGAUGGCCCCACCAUCAGCAGAAAUAAAAAAAGGAAACUGAAAAAGAAACAGCAAAUUAAAAGGAAAAAAGCAGCCGGCGUGAUCACCAAAGCUUCUGGCGUCAACUUCCUGUACCAGCCUGAGCAGAGCGACAGCGAACGCGACGUCGAGCAGCAAAGUGAUGGCGAGGAUGGCGCAGACGCCCGCGAGGGGGAUGGCGCAGACGCCCGCGAGGGGGAUGGCGCAGACGCCCGCGAGGGGGAUGGCGCAGACGCCCGCGAGGGGGAUGGCGCAGACGCCCGCGGGCACUGCAGUACAGACACCGGUGAGGAAAACCAUAAAGACAGCAACGAGGAAGGCGUUAAAAGUAUCAAUGAAAAGGCGGCUGGUAUCCUGAAUUUUCUAAAGUCAACACAAGAAAUUUAUUUUUAUGACGGUAUCUGCCAGGAUCCAGGCUCCGCCGUCCUCCUGGAAACCACUCAGGAGCUAUUUAAGCAUCUUGACAGUCACGGCCUGUCCCCCUCAGAUGUGCUCCUGCUGGAUCACAUGAAAAGCCUGUUACUUCUGCAAGAUACCCAAGGGCUGAAACGAGCCCUCGAAAUGUUCCCGGAAUGCUGCACACUGCCGGCAGGUAUGUAUUGACCGCUUAGUCCUUAUGCUGCUGCAGAUGCUUGUGUCCGUGUUGGUCCCGAAAACUUACACUCCACCAGGGCGGUCAGGAAUCAGAAAACGUGAGGACGCACGUACGGCUUGGAAGAAUGGAGGAGUGUGGUCCUCGUGUCCCUGCUUGCUGUAAAAGCAAUUCACAAGUCAGGGGCGCCUGGGGGGCUCAGUCGGCUAAGCGUUGUGAUCUCACGGUUCCUGAGUUCGAGCUCCGCAUAGGGCUCUGUGCUGACGGUGCAGAGCCUGCUUGGGAUUCUCUGUCUCUGCCCUUCCCUCGCUCAUGCUGUGUCUCUCAAAAAUAAAUAAAUAAGCUUAAUAAUAAUAAUAAUUUGCAUGAUAGGUGCAGAAAUGCCUGUGCAACCUGAUUUUCCAGACUUGUGAGCUAUGAACUAAUAGUUUAUUGGGGCCAAAUAUUGUCAGAGAAAAUUUCUCAUCUCUUUCUUCCUUCUCCACCACUGCAUUGCUAGAAGGUAAAUUUUUUCUAUCCUCUGAACACCUUGAAGAAGGGUGAAUUGUAGGGUUUUCCCUGGUUACUCGCUCAGCCUCGAUUGCUGAUUCCACACCAGCUGUUGGGUGCAGGAGCCACCUGUGUGCAAGUGUUCCCGACACCAUGGUCGUGACUUCUCGUUAGUAGCUUGAAAUGGGCUGAGGUGGGGACGCUAGGCCACAUGAACGUGCAGAUAGCAAACCCCAGAAAAUCGGGGUCUCUCGAGGGCCCCUCCCGUGCACACCCCAAACAGGCACUGGACAUGUGUUCAGACGCAUGAACGAAAAGGGGCCUGCCGAUUUCUUUGCGGGAAUGCCAAUGUAGCCGUGAUGGCAGUCCCACCAGAAAGCUCGAAAGCUCAGGCUGCACCCCAGAGCCCAGACAUCCCAUCAGGAGAAAGGACAGGCGAGUGCAGGGAGGCGCCUCCGAGGUCAGCUGCCACAGCCUCAGAGACCUGGGCAGGUGAAAGCCCGCCCUUGGGCACGGUGUCCCGGCGCGGAGACGAAGACGGGAUGAGGAGGUGAAACACGUCAUGUAUGCACUGGGGCCGCAGCCGGCAGAGAAAGAAAUCCGCAGGAGGGGACAUUCUUGCAGCCGAGGACAAAUGCGCAGGGAUGGAGUGCGUCGGGCGCCAUGUGGUGGGAGCAGGUGGUGGCUAUGGACAGGCAGGAGAGAGGCCUUCCUGGCUGUGGUGUCGGCCCCAGUGCAAAGUCGAGCCAAGGCACGAGCAAGACCCCAGCUGUCGGGUUGAGACCAGAGUGAAGUGUCCGGAGUGGGAGGCCGGGGGCUUUGAUUGUGCUCUGGCUGAAAGAGGCCGUCCGGAGGUGUGGUAGGUUCAGGUCGGCUGUGCAGGUGGAACCCACAGCAUCGCUGGCUGACCAGGCGUGGGGCCUGCACCCCCGGAAGAGCCUGGUGGCCGGUCAUGAGCUGUGACACUCGGGGUGAGACAGGGACCCAUGGGAGCCAGGGUCACAUGCUGACUGGACACCCAGCUGGGGGACUUAGGAUGAGGUCCUUCACGGAACAGAGAGGAUGGAGGCUGGAGACCCCGCCCAGGGCCACUGCAGGGGGAGGCCAGGGGGAGCCUGAAGGGAGGGGUUUCAAGAUGGCAGCAUCGCAGCGGAGGAGAGGCUGACAGACCCCAGGGCCCUUCUGCUGAGGAGCCAGGCUCGCUGGGCACGGGGCAGCCAUAGCUUCCUCGGAGAGCUCAAUCCAGGGUCCGCAUUCAUUGUUGGUUGUCCUAUACUGAGCAUUUAACUAAUUUAAAUUUCCAGAAGUUGUUUCUCAAAUUGUGAAAAGCCAGUUUUAUUAAAUUUAAUAUGAAGUUUUUGUGAGAUAAACAUAAGUCACUUAAAAAUUUUUUAAUUUUGGGGGGCACCUGGGUGGUUCAGUCGGUUGAGUAUCUGACUCUUGAUUUCAGCUCAGGUCAUGAUCCCAGGGUCAUGG
Molecule: RNA transcript, 3095 nt
Organism: Prionailurus viverrinus (fishing cat)
Lineage: Eukaryota; Metazoa; Chordata; Mammalia; Carnivora; Felidae
Gene: ERICH1
Gene name: glutamate rich 1
Exons: 7
Source: RefSeq, a predicted model, not a curated record